This is a long non-coding RNA of Daphnia pulex (common water flea), 1214 nucleotides long. RefSeq lists it as uncharacterized. The record is from RefSeq and is a predicted model, not a curated record. Lineage: Eukaryota; Metazoa; Arthropoda; Branchiopoda; Diplostraca; Daphniidae. The transcript is spliced from 2 exons.
UCCCUUGGUUCUCCUUUUACUCUUGACACUCAUUUUUAAGGUACGAACACCUUCUGGAAAACGUCUCCGAACGACAUUGGUUUAUUUUUCAUUCUUUUUUUUGCCAUGUCAUUGACACUCGAGUAGAAACACGUAGCACUCUUAUCAUCAAACACACAAUAGUCUCACAAGAAACUGCCAGAAUGACAAUCAAACGGGCGGGGGUGAUAAAAAAGAAAACCUAUAUCGCUGUUGUCGCAGUGGAAAAAUGUCGUUUAGUGCGAAAGAACAAGGUGUAAAGUUUAGUUUGUAUGUGUCUCUCAACUCUUGUUCCCUGUUGGAGCACAUAUAGCCUAUAAAAGCGAUCGCCGGGGCGGAGUUAUUGCUGCGCACGUAUCCGUUUCGUUCAAUGGCCAGGUAGAAAAGUGCUCUAUCAAGUUUUAUUCCUUUCCAAAGAGGGCUUAGUAGAGGACGCUUUUGCAUCGCCUUUAAAGUUAUCGGUAGUCGCUGAUUGCAUAAUCAUGUGCGCUUGUUUCGUGCCCGGUUGCACAACUCGGGCUGAAACGAUGGAAAUGGAAAAUCGGAUCUUGUUUUCAUUCCCGAAAGAUGAAAACCGACUCUUGGCUUGGAAGAGGGCGCUACCUAUAGACGCCGUCGUCACCAAAUCAUCUAAAGUGUGCGACCUCCAUUUCGACGAUGACGCCAUCAUCAAAAGUCGAGUGUCAACGGUAGACGGAAAACAGACGACUAUCGCCGUUCGUCCGGUGCUCAAACCCGGAGCAAUUCCCACAAGAUUUCAGAGUAUCAUUUACUUGUGAAAAAAUUGUACAUUUUUUUCCAUCAAGGUGGUUUCAUUAUCGUGUUAGGCGCAUUCUUGUCGAAUAUUAAAUCUUUCUAGUCAACAUCAAUACUUUUCGUCCCCCCUUAAUCCCUUAUGUCACGACGCUUGGUUUAUGCAUGGCCAUAUUGCGUGUGCUUUUCGCAUGCAAUCAAAUUACAGCUCGGGUAGUUGUGUGUGUGUGUAGUUGGUUAACCUCGUUAGUCUUGUCUCUACACCAAGAUUGACAGAGAACAACGUGUGCCAUUAAUGUGGCUCCCUCCUUGUUUACCGCCAGCAGCGCGUUCCAAUAAAGCAACUUUUGGGAAGACAUGACAUGCCGUUCCCGCGAACACUCUGUAAUCAACUUUCUACGUCGUGGAAACUUUUACCCAAUACACAUUAAAGAGCCCUUCGA